UCCACGCAGUAAACGAUGAAUGUUAGUCGUCGGGGGCCUAGUGUCUUCGGUGAUGCAGCUAACGCAUUAAACAUUCCGCCUGGGGAGUACGGUCGCAAGAUUAAAACUCAAAGGAAUAGACGGGGACCCGCACAAGUGGUGGAGCAAAUCUAUAAACCCAAUCUCAGUUCGGAUUGUAGUCUGCAACUCGACUACAUGAAGCUGGAAUCACUAGUAAUCGUAGAUCAGCUAUG
RNAcentral lists this ribosomal RNA (233 nucleotides) under uncultured bacterium. Its description in RNAcentral is "partial 16S ribosomal RNA". It matches the Rfam family "Bacterial small subunit ribosomal RNA", at positions 794 to 1356 of the family's 1533-position model. The record is from RNAcentral.